GCGUCGGUGGUUCAGUGGUAGAAUACUCGCCUGCCACGCGGGUGACCCGGGUUCGAUUCCCGGCUGACGCA
RNAcentral lists this transfer RNA (71 nucleotides) under Rhipicephalus microplus (southern cattle tick). Its description in RNAcentral is "tRNA-Gly". It matches the Rfam family "tRNA". From Rfam's summary of the family: Transfer RNA (tRNA) molecules are approximately 80 nucleotides in length. The record is from Rfam by way of RNAcentral. Lineage: Eukaryota; Metazoa; Arthropoda; Arachnida; Ixodida; Ixodidae.